UGUCUCGCAUUGGCAACUGGGCCCCUUCUUUGCGAUUGCGACGCCGUGAAUUUACGACGAUGUGUGGGGCCAGAAGACACUCAAUGAAGAAGUUCUCGCAUCGAUGCGCUGUCCAUGAAGAGAUUCACUUCUCAACCGACUCCGGAGACGGAAUCAUGAGAAGAAAUGGUGUGGGAAUGGUCGAUUUUUCUCAAGAUUUUGCUGCAGAGUCGGAGAAUGUGGUUGGAGGGCUAUGGUGAUGUAGAUGUGGAUGUGAGAGUGGGAUGAAGGUGGAGUGAGUGAUGGGGGAAGUGAGGAUGGCAACGUCGGAGCGUAAUCCGCCCUCGCACCCGGAGAGAUAGCAAUGCAAUGCAAUUGCUACAUCGCGGCGGCCUCUGCAGUCGCUGUUUGUUUCGUGGCAUUUCGUGACCCGGACGUUUUUAAAAGACUGAGCCUGGGGCAAUUGUAAGGCAGGGUUAAAAUUUGGUGGAAGAGUCCAUAGAGGAAUUGCGGAGCAUGCAGAUUAUGGUGUGUUUACUAUCAUGGAAGCUAUCGGUAGGAAAUUGAGAAGCCCGGAUUUCAGACACGGUACUAUGGGUCGGAGCCGGACAAUGAGGAAUUUGAAGAGGGGGUGGAGGAUGGGGUUCGGCAUGAGAAGUAGAAGGUGAAGUAGUUUAGGUUUAGGUGGAAAUUGGACCCGCAUGAACGACGAUUGCUGAGCGGAGUGAUUGCAGGCACUGUCUUGCGUACUGGCGUAGCUCCACUCGGGAUGAUUCAGACACGCUGGAUUGUGGAGAGCCAUGGCCAUUCAGUCUCUGAGGUCUUCAGUUGGACUGUCACGAAUGAAGAAUGGCAAGGGUUAUUUCGAGGCAAUGCCAUCGAUGUGCUCAAAACUAUCGAACUAUUCGCUUUUGACCAAGUGAAGGGAUAUUUAAUUUCAAUUGAAGGGAGGGCUGGACCUCUACCAUCGUUGCCAGUGUCACGUAUUCCUGGGUUAUGUGCGGAAUUGUUUUCCACAUUGUACACGUACCUCCUGUAGCUUUUGAAGACUCGUCCGACUAUACAGUUGAGGAAUUGCGUUCUGCCUACCUCAAAAUGACAUUUUCGAAUUCAGAUAAAUUGGAACCUUGAAGGGGCAUCCUUACCUGCUUGUGAUCUCCGUUUACAAAAAUUCUGAUGGCGUUUAUUUGUCAUUUUCUUGCUCAACCGGAUAAAUAUCGUGGCAUUCUCCAUGCAUUUAAUAGGAUCAUGAUUGAAGAAGGGUUCCUCGAGCUGUACCAUGGAUUGACACCAAAUAACAUUGGAGUAAUACUCUAUGUUGGAGUCAACUACUUCGCUUCUGAUAAAUUGAGGUUCUUGUACAAGCGUCUGAGCCAAGGAGAACGGAUUGGCAAUAUUCAGACCUUUCUCAUUGUAUUUGCAAGCACAUUUCCGAUAAAGGUGGACGGAAGAAAAUGUAGAUGGCCGUCGUCUUGAAAGACUUUCCCUUAAUUUCAAGGGAUGCUCUGGUCUUUCUUUUCCAACAAGCAUUAGUGAAUGUGUGUGGAUAUGUGUAUAUGUUUAAGGAUACCAGCUUUUUACAGCUCCCAUUGUAUGCAAUUGAAGAGAACGCCCUCUAUGCAGUAACUUUGUAACUUGACUGAUUUCCAUCGAACUACGGGAUCAACACUUGAGAAUCUUAAUUUGGUAACUUCUACGAACAUUUUGGUGAACUAUUGAUUCCUUCGGUUGUGCAGGUAGAAGCAAUUAAAGGAAGGGUUGUAAAUUCCAACAGACUAGAUGCCUUACAGGACAUUGUUUGGGAGCAUGGCAUAAGUGGUUUAUACAGAGCCUUGGGUCCCAGGUGUUUGAAAUCGGUGCCUGUAGCUGGCCUCUCAAUCAUGUGCUACAAAGCAUUGAAAGUGAUUCUGUAAGAAAAAAACGAAAAUAGUCCGUAAUAAGAUCUCUGCGCCUGGCAAUGGAAUUCAA
Physcomitrium patens is the source of this 1947-nucleotide non-coding RNA. NCBI's taxonomy places the organism in Eukaryota, Viridiplantae, Streptophyta, Bryopsida, Funariales, Funariaceae. The record is from RefSeq and is a predicted model, not a curated record.